GCGAGCGUAACUCAGCUGGUAGAGUUCCAGCUUCCCAAGCUGGCUGUCGCGGGUUCGAAUCCCGUCGCUCGCUCCA
RNAcentral lists this transfer RNA (76 nucleotides) under Candidatus Latescibacteria bacterium ADurb.Bin168. RNAcentral's name for it is "tRNA-Gly". It matches the Rfam family "tRNA". Rfam says of the family: Transfer RNA (tRNA) molecules are approximately 80 nucleotides in length. Their secondary structure includes four short double-helical elements and three loops (D, anti-codon, and T loops). Lineage: Bacteria; Pseudomonadati; Candidatus Latescibacterota. RNAcentral also lists the same sequence under 1 other name. The record is from RNAcentral.